This 510-nucleotide ribosomal RNA is filed under the name uncultured bacterium. Its description in RNAcentral is "partial 16S ribosomal RNA". The record is from RNAcentral.
GGAGUUAGCCGGUGCUUCUUCUGCGAGUAACGUCACAGAUGUAAGGUAUUAACUUACACCCUUUCCUCCUCGCUGAAAGUGCUUUACAACCCGAAGGCCUUCUUCACACACACGGCAUGGCUGCAUCAGGGUUUCCCCCAUUGUGCAAUAUUCCCCACUGCUGCCUCCCGUAGGAGUCUGGGCCGUGUCUCAGUCCCAGUGUGGCUGAUCAUCCUCUCAGACCAGCUAGGGAUCGUCGCCUAGGUGAGCCUUUACCUCACCUACUAGCUAAUCCCACCUGGGCUUAUCCAUCAGCGCAAGGCCCGAAGGUCCCCUGCUUUCCCCCGUAGGGCGUAUGCGGUAUUAGCAGUCGUUUCCAACUGUUAUCCCCACAAAUGGGCAAAUUCCCAGGCAUUACUCACCCGUCCGCCGCUCGUCAUCUUCAAAAGCAAGCUUUUGAAAUGUUACCGCUCGACUUGCAUGUGUUAGGCCUGCCGCCAGCGUUCAAUCUGAGCCAGGAUCAAACUCUGA